Molecule: long non-coding RNA, 169 nt
Organism: Vespa velutina
Lineage: Eukaryota; Metazoa; Arthropoda; Insecta; Hymenoptera; Vespidae
Exons: 2
Source: RefSeq, a predicted model, not a curated record
GCAACACUAGAAACUCCUUGAGACGUGCGAUACCUUCUCCCGGCUCUUCGAGAGACAUCAUGCUUACAUGUAAAAUAUAUCAUAGAUCACAGAGAGAUGCGAAAGGGAUCGAUCCUAAUUUGACAUUAAUUCUCGAAGAUUUUUAUCCAAGGAUUGGUAUCAAUAAUAU